AUGGGGUCUCUAUGGGGAUCCCUAUGGGGUCCCUAUGGGAUCCCUAUGGGGUCUCUAUGGGGUAUCCAUGGGGUCCCAAUGGGGUCCAUAUGGGAUCCCUAUGGGGUCUGUAUGGGGCGCAGUGGGGCAGCGCUGUUCUCUCCCCGCAGUGCCCCAAUGAGGAUCGCAUCGCAGAGCGGCGUUUUGGGGUGUUGCAUCGCCGCCCGCAGUGCCAAUAAAUGCAGUGUGUCCGUC
Gallus gallus (chicken) is the source of this 234-nucleotide long non-coding RNA. RefSeq lists it as uncharacterized. The record is from RefSeq and is a predicted model, not a curated record. The transcript is spliced from 2 exons. Lineage: Eukaryota; Metazoa; Chordata; Aves; Galliformes; Phasianidae.